CUGUGACUGACUGACUGACCCUGGCCAUUGUUGGCAUAUCAUGGUGGAUCUGUCCCGAACAAAGCUCUUUAAGCAGCUGGGAUUGUGCUCUUGUCAUGGAGCCCAGUGGGGUAUUUAUGAUGCAGGGCAGUACAGAUCCUGGAGGUAUGCCUGGCCUUUUUAGGGUGAGCAUCACCCUCCAACUGAACUACUAAACCAUUAAGACCAACCAGGAACCUGUGUGAUUGAAGGUGGAUUUGCAGAAUGACAGAACUAAGACUGUUUUAACCAUUCCUCCCAUCCCUCUGUCCCUGCGUUCCCAGGUACAGCAGUAUUUCUCCUGUCUUCCAGAGGACAAGGUCCCCUACGUCAACAGUCCUGGAGAGAAACACAGGAUCAGACAGCUGCUCUACCAGCUGCCGCCUCAUGACAAUGAGGUGCGGUAUUGCCACUCUCUCAGUGAGGAGGAGAAGAGGGAGCUCCACAUGUUCAGUGUCCAGAGAAAGAGAGAGGCUCUGGGGAGAGGAACCCCCAGGAUGCUCCCUCGAGCCCUGCAACACACCCUCUGUGAACAUUGUGGUGAGGGCAUCAGUGGAGGAGAGAUGGCAAUCUUUGCAUCGCGGGCGGGUCCGGGGCCGUGCUGGCAUCCAGCAUGCUUUGCGUGCGCCACGUGUCAGGAGCUGCUGGUAGACCUUAUCUACUUCCACCAGGACGGAAAGAUCCACUGUGGACGACACCACGCUGAGCUGCUGAAACCACGAUGCUCAGCCUGCGAUGAGGUGAGAUCACUGUGUGUGUGUGAUCAAUAACCUGUGAUGAGGUGAGAUCACUGUGUGUGUGUGUGA
Salmo salar (Atlantic salmon) is the source of this 824-nucleotide non-coding RNA. NCBI's taxonomy places the organism in Eukaryota, Metazoa, Chordata, Actinopteri, Salmoniformes, Salmonidae. The record is from RefSeq and is a predicted model, not a curated record.